GAUGAACGCUGGCGGCGUGCCUAAUACAUGCGAGUCGAGCGAACGGACGAGAAGCUUGCUUCUCUGAUGUUAGCGGCGGACGGGUGAGUAACACGUGGAUAACCUACCUAUAAGACUGGGAUAACUUCGGGAAACCGGAGCUAAUACCGGAUAAUAUUUUGAACCGCAUGGUUCAAAAGUGAAAGACGGUCUUGCUGUCACUUAUAGAUGGAUCCGCGCUGCAUUAGCUAGUUGGUAAGGUAACGGCUUACCAAGGCAACGAUGCAUAGCCGACCUGAGAGGGUGAUCGGCCACAGUGGAACUGAGACACGGUCCAGACUCCUACGGGAGGCAGCAGUAGGGAAUCUUCCGCAAUGGGCGGAAGCCUGACGGAGCAACGCCGCGUGAGUGAUGAAGGUCUUCGGAUCGUAAAACUCUGUUAUUAGGGAAGAACAUAUGUGUAAGUAACUGUGCACAUCUUGACGGUACCUAAUCAGAAAGCCACGGCUAACUACGUG
This 497-nucleotide ribosomal RNA is filed under the name uncultured bacterium. RNAcentral's name for it is "partial 16S ribosomal RNA". It matches the Rfam family "Bacterial small subunit ribosomal RNA", at positions 28 to 507 of the family's 1533-position model. The record is from RNAcentral.